UCAGACAUGUGUUAUCGUAUG
RNAcentral lists this non-coding RNA (21 nucleotides) under Caenorhabditis elegans. Lineage: Eukaryota; Metazoa; Nematoda; Chromadorea; Rhabditida; Rhabditidae. The record is from RNAcentral.